This 721-nucleotide long non-coding RNA is filed under the name Pan troglodytes (chimpanzee). RNAcentral describes it as "lincRNA". The record is from RNAcentral. Lineage: Eukaryota; Metazoa; Chordata; Mammalia; Primates; Hominidae.
GUGAAUUAAAAUGUUCACUUUAUUCCUGAAACCCAGGCUGGCUGCUCUAAGUUGAUCUGGUGCCUUGGUCACUCGUGGCUUCUUUCUUCUAUGCCAGCUCUGUCUUCUCUACACUUCCUCUGGAGGAGAAGGCCUUGACACAAUUACAAGAAGUCAGGGACCCUGAACAGAGGGACCAGCUGAAGCCACAGCAGAAGCACAUAAAUUGUGAAGAUUUCAUGGACAUUUAUUAGUUCCCCAAAUUAAUACUUUUAUAAUUUCUUAUGCCUGUCUUUACUGCAAUCUCUGAACAUAAAUUGUGAAGAUUUCAUGGACAUUUAUCACUUCCCCAAUCAAUACUCUUAUAAUUUCCUAUGCCUGUCUUUAAUCUCUUAAUCCCAUCAUCUUCCUAAACUGAGGAUGUAUGUUGCCUCAGGACCCCGUGAUGAUUGCAUUAUCUGCACAAGUUGCUUGUAAAGCAUGUGUGUUUGAACAAUAUGAAAUCUGGGCACCUUGAAAGGAACAGGAUAACAGUGAUUUUCAGAGAACAAGGGAGAUAACCAUAAGGUCUGACUGCCUGCAGGACCGGGCAGAACAGAGUCGUAUUUCUCUUUUUACAGAAAGCGAAUAGGAGAAAUAUUGCGAAUUCUUUUCUCAGCAAGAAAUAGCCCUGGGAAAGGAAAGCAUUCCCAGGGGGAGGUCUCUAAAAUGGCUGCUCUGGGAGUGUCUGUCUUACGUGGUU